GUAAAGGCAGUUUAGUGGUAAAAUUCUCACCUUCCCUGCAGGAGACCCAGGUUCGAUUCCUGGCCAAUACA
RNAcentral lists this transfer RNA (71 nucleotides) under Loxodonta africana (African savanna elephant). It matches the Rfam family "tRNA". Rfam says of the family: Transfer RNA (tRNA) molecules are approximately 80 nucleotides in length. Lineage: Eukaryota; Metazoa; Chordata; Mammalia; Proboscidea; Elephantidae. The record is from Rfam by way of RNAcentral.